ACAUCGGCGGUUCAGUGGUAGAAUUCUCGCCUUCCAUGUGGGAGACCCAGGUUCAGUUCCUAGCCAAUGCA
RNAcentral lists this transfer RNA (71 nucleotides) under Loxodonta africana (African savanna elephant). It matches the Rfam family "tRNA". From Rfam's summary of the family: Transfer RNA (tRNA) molecules are approximately 80 nucleotides in length. Their secondary structure includes four short double-helical elements and three loops (D, anti-codon, and T loops). The record is from Rfam by way of RNAcentral. Lineage: Eukaryota; Metazoa; Chordata; Mammalia; Proboscidea; Elephantidae.